This 63-nucleotide transfer RNA is filed under the name Varanus mertensi. RNAcentral describes it as "tRNA-Tyr". It matches the Rfam family "tRNA". From Rfam's summary of the family: Transfer RNA (tRNA) molecules are approximately 80 nucleotides in length. The record is from RNAcentral. Lineage: Eukaryota; Metazoa; Chordata; Lepidosauria; Squamata; Varanidae.
GGUAAGGUGGCUGAGUAGGCGGUAGAUUGUAAAUCUACUUACGAGACGAUUUCUCCCUUUCCA